AUCCGGGGGCGGAGCCGGCGGGGCGGACGGGCGGGCGCGGGCCCGGGGCCGUGAUGGGCGAAGGCGGGCUGCCCCCGGCCUUCCAGCUGCUGCUGCGCGCCUGCGACCAGGGCGACACGGACACGGCGCGGCGGCUGCUGGAGCCGGGGGCGGCGGAGCCGGCGGAGCGCGGCGCGGAGCCCGAGGUGGGCGCGGAGCCGGCGGGCGCCGAGGCGGCCGGGCCCGGGGCGGCGGCGGCGGCGGCCGGGGCGCCGGUGCCCGUGGACUGCUCGGACGAGGCCGGCAACACGGCGCUGCAGUUCGCGGCGGCCGGGGGCCACGAGCCGCUGGUGCGCUUCCUGCUGCGCCGCGGCGCCUCGGUCAACAGCCGCAACCACUACGGCUGGAGCGCGCUCAUGCAGGCGGCCAGAUUUGGGCACGUGAGCGUGGCGCACCUGCUCUUGGAUCACGGGGCUGACGUCAAUGCCCAGAACCGGCUGGGGGCCUGUGUGCUCACGGUGGCCUCUCGGGGCGGCCACCUGGGUGUGGUGAAGCUGCUCCUGGAAGCUGGUGCCUUCGUGGACCAUCACACCCUGUCGGGCGAGCAGCCGGCGGCGGCGGCAGCAGACAGCAGGAACGAGCUGCUGGACAUCACGGCCCUGAUGGCUGCCAUCCAGCACGGACACGAAGCUGUGGUGCGCCUGCUGCUGGAGUGGGGUGCGGACCCCAACCACGCGGCCCGGACCGUGGGCUGGAGCCCGCUGAUGCUGGCCGCGCUCAUCGGCAGGCUGGGUGUGGCCCAGCAGCUGGUGGAGAAGGGGGCCAACCCCGACCACCUCAGCGUGCUGGAGAAGACUGCCUUCGAGGUCGCGCUUGACCGCAAACACAGGGACCUGGCAGAUUACCUGGACCCACUGACCACCGUCAGGCCCAAGACAGAUGAGGAGAAAAGGCGGCCUGAUAUUUUCCACGCGUUGAAAAUGGGAAACUUCCAGUUGGUCAAAGAGAUUGCCGAUGAAGACCCCAACCACGUGAACCUGGUCAACGGGGACGGGGCCACCCCCCUGAUGCUGGCGGCCGUCAUGGGGCAGCUGCCCCUGGUGCAGCUGCUGGUGGAGAGGCAUGCCGAGGUCGACAAGCAGGACAGCGUGCAUGGCUGGACGGCCCUCAUGCAGGCCACCUACCACGGGAAUAAGGAAAUUGUCAAAUAUCUGCUAAACCAGGGAGCCGAUGUCGCUCUCCGAGCAAAAAACGGGUACACGGCCUUUGACCUAGUGAUGCUGCUGAGUGAUCCUGACACGGAACUUGUUCGACUGCUGGCAUCUGUCUGCAUGCAGGUGAACAAAGACAAAGGCCGGCCCAGCCACCCGCCGCCCCUGCCCCACGCGAAGGCCCGGCAGCCCUGGAGCGUCCCAGUGCUGCCCGACGACAAAGGCGGGCUCAAGUCCUGGUGGAGCCGAAUGUCCAAUCGGUUUCGGAAGCUCAAAUUGAUGCAGACUCUGCCCCGCGGGCUGUCCAGCAACCAGCCUUUGCCUUUCUGUGAUGAGCCAGAGCCAGCACUGGACACCACCAUGCGGGCACGCCCCCAGGACAAGACCAGCUGCUCGGGGCUCCCCGACGCGGCCCCCACAAUGAAAGACAACGGUCCUAGGAGCACGAGAGGAGAGAAGGAAGACGUGUUGUUGACGACCAUGCUUCGAAAUGGAGCCCCCUUCACCAGACUCCCGAGUGACAAGCUGAAGGCCGUCAUCCCCCCUUUCUUGCCCCCUUCCAGCUUUGAGCUGUGGAGCUCGGACCGGUCCAGGACAUGUCACAACGGGAAGGUGGACCCCAUGAAGACUGUGCUGCCCCAGAGAGCCAGCAGGGGCCACCCCAUGGGCAAUGGGAGCACAGAUACCACUCCUGUCAGGCCGGUUAAAUUUCCAUCUCUCUCCAGAAGCCCAGCCUCCCCUGCUAAUUCUGGAAACUUCAACCACUCACCUCAUUCCUCAGGUGGCUCCAGUGGGGUAGGGGGCAUGAGUAGGCAUGGCGGGGAGCUGCAUAAUCGCUCAGGUGGCAGCAUAGACAGUGUCCUGUCCCAGAUUGCUGCCCAAAGAAAGAAAGCAGCCGGACUCUCUGAGCAGAAGCCCAGCCAUCGGUCAAGUCCUAUUGGGCCAGCCCCUGGGUCCAGCCCUUCUGAACAACCGGUCUCCCCUGCAGGUGGUGGCAGUCCCGGUGGCAAGAAACUGGAGAUGAGCAAAAGGCCUCCGUCUGGAACUUCCACUACCUCCAAAAGCACCUCCCCCACCCUCACCCCCUCCCCUUCGCCCAAAGGCCAUGCGGCCGAGUCCUCGGUGUCCUCCUCUUCGUCCCACCGGCAGUCCAAGAGCAGUGGGGGCUCUAGCAGCGGCACCAUCACCGAUGAGGAUGAACUGACUGGAAUCCUUAAGAAAUUGUCACUUGAGAAAUACCAGCCCAUUUUUGAGGAGCAAGAGUCUGCGUCUCUUGUCCUCUGGGGGGAAACAUGGUGGAUAUGGAAGCGUUCCUCACCCUCACUGACGGCGACUUGAAGGAGCUGGGUAUUAAGACAGAUGGAUCCAGGCAGCAGAUUCUGGCAGCAAUUUCUGAACUGAAUGCAGGCAAGGGACGUGAGAGACAGAUUUUACAGGAAACCAUUCACAACUUCCAUUCUUCCUUUGAGAGCAGCGCCAGCAACACCAGAGCGCCUGGAAACAAUCCCUGUACAUGAUCCUCCUUCCUGUGGCCACCAGCGUGAACUUUCUGAAUCUCAACACUGCCUCCACACAGCCAGUGUACCAGCCACCCUCAACUCUUCCCGGUUCCCCGAAACACUCAUACCACUGUGCCUUAGUCAUGUUGUUCCCUCUGUCUGGAACACCCAUCUUUCCCUGUCCUGCUGUGGUAGUUUGGGGGCCCAGCUUCUUUCAUCUGUGACUGUGCCUUCCCAGGGGCCUCAGAGUCUUUUCUGGCUGGCAGAAGAGGAAAGGGAUGGUGAAGGUGAAGGCACAGCCAUUUCUUACUGCCUUGCUCUUAACUGCACCUGUUCCACUGGCUCCUCCUACUCCCAUUCAUCAGUGGUCACCAGCAGUCACAUGGCCAUACCUGGAUGCAAAGGACACUGGGAAACGUAGUCUUUGUUCAGGAGUGGCUUCACAGCAACAACUCCUUCCUGAGGAAGAGCAUGUUUUGGUAGAUUAGCCUUUUCUGCUACAUCUUUCUUUAAAACUUCUAACUUGUUCCCCACACUUAGACUCAUCUCUCAGAUGAAGCCUUUUCUAACCCCUCCAGUCACUGGGGCCCUUACUGCUUUGUACAUAACUCUGCUUUAAUACUUCACUGCACCUACUGCAUACAAGAUGCAACAGGAUGUGUGUGUUGAAUGCGCUUUUCUUUAUUGCAAAGACAGCCUUUUAUCCUGGAAAAUGGAGGAGUCUCAUUGUGUGAACUUGAGAGAUCCCUUAGCUUUCUGGCCCUCAGUUUCCUCAUCUGUGGUCAGGCAAGAUUAUGCUCUGAUACUCCACACCACUCAUCCCAGGUCACUGUAGGACUUUCUGCACUUCAAGUGGGAGCAGAAGGCCUUAAUAUAUUACAUUAUGGAAGAACUUCGGUGCUCACACCUUUUAGGCAAAGAAGCAGAGAAUUUGGAAUGUUUUCUAGACUCUAUUAGUGCUAUGUUUCUCAGAAAGGCAUUGACUCACGUAGUUUUUCUACCAUGUUUUAUUAGAGGGCUCUGAAUUUAAAUCCAGUAGCUUUCUGUACUAUUUUCAAGUGAGUAUUCACUCAGCCAACACUUGCUGCAUUUAUGUCAUUUGCUGUGUGCUGGGGGUAGAGGGACGAGCCAGAGCCAGUCUCCACCCUUGCAUCCUCUACAGGCAAGAGAUGUGAAUGGGAAAUCCAAUCCCAACCUUAAGGGACAGCACAGCACAGUGGAGUUGAAAGAGUUUGUGCUCUGGACUAAGGCUCAGAGUUCAGAUCCAGCCCUGUGGGUGGCCAGCUGUGUAGCCAGAAAUGGGUUACUUAGCCUCUUCAUUGGAGCUUAGCACAGAAUACAUAAAGUGCUUGGUCUGCAGGACGUAUUCUAGAUAUGGUAACCUUCACAGAAUUCUGAUCCUUCUCAUGAGCUCUGCAGGGUACAUGCUGGAUGCUUGCGAGGCCUCUCACCUCUCCUUCCCCCAGCCAUGAAUGCCCAUUUCUGCUCCAUUGGCUCUCAGAAGUCAUUACUGCAUUGCCCGGAGCCUGAUCAUGCUCUCCCUCUGCCUGUCAGUCGAGUGGGUGCUGCUGGUUCUUCGUCCUCCCAUCCUCCUACCUGCUGAAGUGAACUUUCCACAUGACUGGAGAGAAAGGGUUUCAUUUUAGUCAUCACUGACAAAUGUCUUCAUAAUUGUUCCUCACAUGCCAGCCUCCUUUAAGGAGACACGGUCAUCGGGCACCAUUGUGUGCAGCAGCUUGACCUCAGUGUCAUUCAUCCUGUCACCCCGGACGCUGGCAUGGUUUAACCCCAUCCUGCCCAUUGGGGAAACAGACAUGGAGGAGUGAAGCUGUGUGCCUAUUACACACACAGAAGGAGCAGACUGGCUUUGAACUGAACUGGUAGACUUCUGAGCCUGUGCUCUUUCCACUGACUCCCACAGGCUCCUGGAGCAAGAAGCACAGGGAUGGCCUAGGUCUGUUUGCACAUGAAAUAAAUGGCCUUGAAAUUUUUUUUUUGUACAUGAAAUAAAUGGCCUCUGAGUUAUGUGCCUUGAGAUCCUCUGCCAGC
Molecule: RNA transcript, 4738 nt
Organism: Pipistrellus kuhlii (Kuhl's pipistrelle)
Lineage: Eukaryota; Metazoa; Chordata; Mammalia; Chiroptera; Vespertilionidae
Gene: ANKS6
Gene name: ankyrin repeat and sterile alpha motif domain containing 6
Exons: 16
Source: RefSeq, a predicted model, not a curated record